RNAcentral lists this long non-coding RNA (207 nucleotides) under Elaeis guineensis (African oil palm). RNAcentral's name for it is "long non-coding RNA (EGUI_LNC012245)". The record is from RNAcentral. Lineage: Eukaryota; Viridiplantae; Streptophyta; Magnoliopsida; Arecales; Arecaceae.
UUGUAUGUGAGGUGUUCAUCGGUUCGUGUCAAUUUUUCGGCGCUCCAAAAUAAAAAUAGUCGGGUCUAUGCAAAAUCUAGCUUGAUUAUUUGUCGGAGGACUUGGAUUAGGGUUUCGAUCAUUACCUUUUGCUAUUUGUCUAAAGCAAUAAGAUCUUCUAUAUCAUUGGCUAGGUGAACAAGUCACACAGAUUGCAAAUCCAAGAUC